Molecule: transfer RNA, 68 nt
Filed under: Trichophyton mentagrophytes
Lineage: Eukaryota; Fungi; Ascomycota; Eurotiomycetes; Onygenales; Arthrodermataceae
Description: tRNA-Gly
Source: RNAcentral
AUGGCUAUAGGUUAACGGUAGACUAUUCGCGUAUGUGAAAUGAGUUGAUUCAACUUCAACUAGCCAUA